AACGUAGGACGCAAGCGUUGUCCGGAAUUAUUGGGCGUAAAGAGCUCGUAGGCGGUCUGUCGCGUCGGAUGUGAAAACUCGGGGCUCAACCCCGAGCCUGCAUUCGAUACGGGCAGACUAGAGUUCGGUAGGGGAGACUGGAAUUCCUGGUGUAGCGGUGAAAUGCGCAGAUAUCAGGAGGAACACCGGUGGCGAAGGCGGGUCUCUGGGCCGAUACUGACGCUGAGGAGCGAAAGCGUGGGGAGCGAACAGG
This 253-nucleotide ribosomal RNA is filed under the name uncultured bacterium. RNAcentral describes it as "partial 16S ribosomal RNA". It matches the Rfam family "Bacterial small subunit ribosomal RNA", at positions 524 to 776 of the family's 1533-position model. The record is from RNAcentral.